RNAcentral lists this ribosomal RNA (253 nucleotides) under uncultured bacterium. Its description in RNAcentral is "partial 16S ribosomal RNA". It matches the Rfam family "Bacterial small subunit ribosomal RNA", at positions 524 to 776 of the family's 1533-position model. The record is from RNAcentral.
UACGUAGGUGGCAAGCGUUGUCCGGAUUUACUGGGCGUAAAGCGCGCGCAGGCGGACUGAUCAGUCUGGGGUGAAAUCUCACGGCUCAACUGUGAGCGGUCCCUGGAUACUGUCAGUCUUGAGAGACCUAGAGGAGAGCGGAAUUCCCGGUGUAGUGGUGGAAUGCGUAGAUAUCGGGAAGAACACCUAUGGCGAAGGCAGCUCUCUGGGACGGUACUGACGCUGAGACGCGAAAGCGUGGGGAGCGAACAGG